Molecule: transfer RNA, 74 nt
Filed under: candidate division CSSED10-310 bacterium
Lineage: Bacteria; candidate division CSSED10-310
Description: tRNA-Met
Rfam family: tRNA
About the family: Transfer RNA (tRNA) molecules are approximately 80 nucleotides in length.
Source: RNAcentral
GGCGGAUUAGCUCAGCUGGUUAGAGCACACGGCUCAUAUCCGUGGCGUCCGGGGUUCAAGUCCCUGAUCCGCCA